RNAcentral lists this non-coding RNA (781 nucleotides) under Physopelta slanbuschii. Lineage: Eukaryota; Metazoa; Arthropoda; Insecta; Hemiptera; Largidae. The record is from RNAcentral.
CAAGUUUACUUGUUCCGUUUUAUGAAAGUGUUAUAUUUUAAUAAUUAUUUUUUAUAUAUGUAAGUUUUUGUGUGAUUAUUUAUUCUUAAGGGUUAUAUUUUUAUUCGCAGUUGUUAGUUUUGUUUAUUUAAGGAAACUUAGAUUCAGUUAAUAAUAACAGGGUUGUUUAAUAUUGUGCCAGCAAACGCGGUUAUACAAUUAAUUCUAGUUAUUUUUUUUGGAUAAUAUUUAUAUUUUAUUUUUUAGAGUAAUUUUUUUUUUAUUAGGUGAAAUUUUAAUUUAUUAUUAUACUUUAAGGUUAUUGUGAAUAUAUGAAAUUCUUCUUUUAAACUAGGAUUAGAUACCCUAUUAUUUUGAAUGUUAAUUAUUUUCCUAGUACUAUUAGUUAUGGUCUUUAAAUUAGAAGAUUUUGGCGGUAAUUUAAUCUUUUCAGAGGAACCUGUCCUGUAAUUGAUGAUCCACGUUGGGUUUUACUUUAAUUUUUAGUUUGUAUAUCUCUGUCUUUGAGUAACUUAUUAGGGUUAUGCUCUUAAAUUAUUAUUUAUAUUAUGUCAGGUCAAGGUGCAGCUAUAUUAAAGGUUGAGAUGGGUUACAUUUAGUGUUAUACUUAUAAGCUACUUAUUUUGAAUAUAUAUGUUAAAAUUGGAUUUGAAAGUAAAUGUUAAUAUCUUUUAAUAUUGAUUUUGGCUCUAAAUUAUGUACAUAUCGCCCGUCACUCUCAUUUAUAAGGUGGGAUAAGUCGUAACAAAGUAAUUCUAUUGGAAAAUGGAGUUGGAGGAAA